GCGUUCUUCUGCUUUGCUUCUUUGUAACUACAGUACAUGUGUUGUAGUUGCUGUGAUUUUUCUCUGGCAAGUGCCUCACCUAUUUUGCCAAAACAAUAGAGGAGCGUAGAGAUAAAUAUGACUUUGCUCAGUUACCAGUUGGCUUCCAUUGAAGCCAAGGUAUUUAGUUUUUGACAAUCUUUAUUUAAAGAAGUUUUUUUCACAAAAUACAAAGAUGCCACAUGAAAUGUCAAAUAACAGAAAAAUCAAUAAUGAGAUAAAAAUUAACAAAACAAAUAGAAAAUGCUUAUACAAUACACUUACACUGCAUAAAGAAAGCAAAUAACAUCACAUGGCAGACUUCUAUCAGACACUAAAUAGGGGUAACUUGUUGGGAAAAUUGUGCGUUUACCCAAUGAGCAUGACAUUCAAUGUAACUCUGGAUAGAAAAUUUGAAGGUGCCACAGUGAAUUAAACACAAAGGACAAUAACAGCUCAGGUAGGGAGAGAAGAAAGUAUAGAACUGCUAAAAGAAAGGAGGAGCCAAAGAAAAAGAGGGGAGGAAAGAGCAAGGGGGAAAAUAAAGAUUAAAAAAGGAAUGGUGGGAAAAGGGAAGCAAGACCUGAAUGUCCAGUCUGGAGAGAGCAUCUGUAGUUGGCAGGAGCCACACAGGAAUUUGGAUCAACAGGUUUAGGGUGUUGGGAAGUGUAAUGAAACCAUGAGUGCCGGUUGGCAAAGUACUUGUUUGUCUGCCCUGGUACAGAGUAAAAGGAGUUUCUUUAUGCUAUAGGUGUC
This is a non-coding RNA of Pelobates cultripes (western spadefoot toad), 774 nucleotides long. Lineage: Eukaryota; Metazoa; Chordata; Amphibia; Anura; Pelobatidae. The record is from the annotation of a GenBank genome assembly.